Molecule: ribosomal RNA, 253 nt
Filed under: uncultured bacterium
Lineage: Bacteria
Description: partial 16S ribosomal RNA
Rfam family: Bacterial small subunit ribosomal RNA
Source: RNAcentral
CACGUAGGGGACGAGCGUUGUCCGGAUUCAUUGGGCGUAAAGCGCGCGUAGGCGGCUCGGAAAGUCGGGCGUGAAAUCUCGGGGCUUAACUCCGAAACUGCAUUCGAUACUGCCGUGCUUGAGGACUGGAGAGGAGACUGGAAUUUACGGUGUAGCGGUGAAAUGCGUAGAUAUCGUAAGGAAGACCAGUGGCGAAGGCGGGUCUCUGGACAGUUCCUGACGCUGAGGCACGAAGGCCAGGGGAGCAAACGGG